This is a long non-coding RNA of Apis laboriosa (Himalayan honeybee), 1527 nucleotides long. RefSeq lists it as uncharacterized. Lineage: Eukaryota; Metazoa; Arthropoda; Insecta; Hymenoptera; Apidae. The record is from RefSeq and is a predicted model, not a curated record. The transcript has 3 exons.
UAUAUUUGAUUUGAUUUCUUUUCUUUCAAAAAAAAAUUCACUUAUUUAUCUCACACGCGUCUCUUGUUUAUCUCAUACGCGAUCAAGUGCAAGCCUUCCUUCCCCUCCAUCAUCGCAGCUUGGUCUUUUCCAUCGCGAUGAGAUUAAGUUGUACUCGUGGCGUUUCUGUUCUCCGCAGCUGAGCAUUGUUUACGGGGGAGGUGGUAAGAGGCCACGAAUCGUGCUCUCUGCCAGCUAGUGAGAAUAUAUUUAUUCGUAUGUUAAAAUGUCGGCAAGCGGUCAAGAGUGUACUCUCUUUAGGCCAACAGGCGGUUCUACGCUGAAUUGCAGAUACGGUGUAGUUUGAUGGUAGUCGCGAAACCGAUUCGACGCCGAUAACAAUUUACAUUCGCCGAUACCGAACUGGGACACGAUGCAGGUGCAACAGCAAAGGAGAAGAAGCAAUGGGCCCCGGGAUUGAGUGAAGCGAUGCAUUUAUCGAGGCCUGUACUUUGAGAGUGGGCAGAGCCGAUUCCAGUCUCAGAAGUUCAUCCACCGUGUAGCCGAGGUGCUAUUGUUCCAGAGCCAGCCGACGGAGACCAGACGAUGAGUGGAGGAGGAAGAGGUGGAGGAAGAAGCUAGCAAACGAGGUGGAGGAGGAUGCUAUCGAGAAAGAGGUGUAUCUAUAUAAGUAUGUGUAUAUAUAUACGUGAAAUGUAACUAUAUACAGGGUGUCUCGUGAUUUGUAGAUAUUGAUCGAAACAAAUAUACGAAAAAAAGUGAAAAAAGUUUGCACUAUAUAUCUAUAUAUAUAAGAGAAUAGAAUUCUCAAUGUAAGUGGAGCACCUGUUGCGUGGAGAUAUUUAAAAUCUUGCAUUGUGCAUGCAAUGUCUAUUGAAAAUCAUGAAAUAAUAUGUUUUUCGAAUAGAACAAAAUCUUCGGAUAAUCAGAUCAAUGAUAGUAUGUUUAUAAUGGAUUAUCUGGAAAUGCAAAAAUAAGUAUAUAUAAUCAAUUUUUAAAAUGAAUUUAUGAAUUAUAUUAUAUUACGGAACACCUUUUAUAUAUGUGAGUAUAUAUGCAUAUCUAUCGAUGAUAAAUAUAAUAACAGAUGAAAAGUAAGCCUUUCCCUUAGAGUUCAAACGAUUCAUACGCAUCGCCAGAGCGCAUGCGUAUAUACAUUAAUUUCAAUCGGCAGCGAGCAAACUUUUCGUUACAGUCUAUUUCGCAAGCCCUUCGCCAAUAUAAAGGUCAUUGAUGCGCUGGCGAUUCUUGAUAAUUAUUACCUGUGAGAUUGUUAUCGAUCCAUCGUAGAGGAAUUGCUUGCGGGAUAUUUCGCAAUAUUUUAGUUUUUUUUUAUUCCAUUGGAAAAAUUCAACCGAUUGAAUAUGAUCGAAUCUUGCCUCUAGCACUCUAUGAAACAAUUACAGUUUACUUUCUUAUGGAUAUUUUUGGAUAUCAAAUGCAUUGGAUAUUUCAUGAUAUAAUGUUCCAAUAUAAGAAAACAUAAUAUAAUUAUAUAUGAAAUUCUAUACCUUUUCAAAAUCUAUG